UAGUAGUACUACAAAGUCUUAUACGUCAUGUGAGUCAACGGUGGUCCAAAAUUAUUAGGUUAAAUACGACUUUUCCACAAUGCUUGCCCAUGCAGCUGUGCUGGGGGUUGUUUGCAUGCAUGAGCUAUCACAACCGUUGAAUAUAUAUAAUGGGUAGAACUUAAUUGUGCAUUCACAAUCAUCAAUUGUUGUCUUAUCUCAGCAGCAUAAUCAAUGCGUAGAACUCAAUUGUACAUUCACUAUCAUCAAUUGUUGUGUUAUCUCAGCAGCAUAAUCAAUCGACAACCACCACCAUAGGGAUGUUCUCGUCGCUCUUAACUAGGAAUGGACAACAGUUUCGACAACGGUAACUAACAUCGGUUAUUUAUCUAUAACCGUUUAAGCCUUUACUGCAUAACUGUUUAUCUGUUCGAUAAUUAUAUAAAUUGUUAUAUACAUAUCCAUAACUGUUUAUAAACGGUUACUCAUACUCAUAACCCCAUACUUAUUUAACCGGUAACCUAUUUACCCGUUUUUAACCCGUUUACCAUUUUUAUCCAUUUACUCCUAUUUUACCUAUUUACAUGUUUUUUUACUCAUUUGUAAGUACAUUUAAUAUGCAUUACCGUGUUUCAAUCUCUUAAGUUCUCAUACCACUGCAAUAAUUGAAAUUAUAGAGCGAACAAUAUUUGCAACUACAUCCACCUUUACGCUUGGUCCAAGCAAUUCAAGAUCUUAUUAAUUGCUGCAAGUUACUUUCUUUCUUUUUUUUCUUUUUUCUGAAACAUUCCCCUUAAGCUUACGAAACUUAUUUGCCCUUUCCUGUGAAGGUUAGUUGAAGGGAACUUUAUAUGUGCCCUACAAUUUGCACAUUAUACCUCACAACUUAUUGGAAUAAGAUGGGAAUGUCGUGAGUUUGUAGGGUAUGCUACAAGUUACUUAAGAAAAGUGAAUUAGUAAGAAAUCAAAUGCUAUUGGCCUGGCGUGUAGUCUGGAUUAUAAUAACCAUGUUUAAUGCCCUUAUUCAAGUAAAGUUCUGAACAAAUCAUUUGACUCCGUUGGAAGUAACUCUCAACAGCAUAUCCAUGAUCGGAUUUCGUUUUCUACUUGAUCCUCUAAGUUUUAUCAAAUCAUGUAAUAUUUCGGGAUCACACUAAGUAUAUUUGGAUUGAGCUCGAUCCCACCAAUGCGUAGGCGAAAACCAUUCGUAAAUUGAAAUUAUAACGAAUGAGAUAUAAGGAGUGAAGGCAAGGGUAAAAUGUUCAUUUGAACCAAUAAGCGGUUAAACGGGUAUCCGUUUAUAACCGCAGGUGAUACCCAUAACCACCUAUUUAAAUUUCACAGGUAAAUGGUUAUACCCUUAACCGUUUAUUUGUUUAAACGGUUACCCAUAACCAUAACCGUGAAUUUUAAAUGGGCGGGUAACUACAAUUACCCAUACCCAUAAGUAUUUUUCCCAUCUUAACCCACUCACACUUCUACCCACUUAUACAUAGUGUCUAUCAACCAUUGAUGUAUCGGAUGCCGUAUCUAGUUCAAAGACUAGGAUUCACCCACGCACUUAUGAGCAAUACUAUUAUGAACAAUUCUCUAAUGUAAAUUUGGACUAACUUUUAAAUUCACGUGAUAAAUCACAUACAAAUAAAAUAACUGUAUUUUAUGUGUAAAGAUGUAUGAAUUAGUGAUAAUGUUCUUUAAACUCUCAAAUAUGGGCUUGAUUUGGAAUUAAUUCUCACAAUUGUCUGCAUAUCCCCCACCUACACCAUUAUUUGGCAAAUGGAACCAAAGUAUCAGUGGUAUUCGAAGGUGACUCUCAUUUCAAAUAAUGUAAUUAACUACUUCUGUAUAAAUCAAAUUGUAAUCUUAUGUGUAAGCUUAUUCUUUUGCAAUAUAGUUGUUAUCAAAAUUUAUGAUCACAACAACUAAAUAUGCUAUCCAGUAGUAGAAAAUUGUCUGUAUGCUAAAUGAGAGGUGUAGAUGUUCGGGCCAAUACUUCAGGUAUAGUGGGAAAAGAGAAUUAACAUUAGGAUAGAUUAUUGGUUUGAUAUCAAGAGAUCAAGAUUGUAGGUUGUAGUAUCACAAACAUGAUAUUGGAAACCAAAUAAACGUUAGAAGACUCCACUUGCAUAAGUUAGGAAGUAGACUGAUGAACAAAAUGAUCCCUAACCAUUCCACAGAAGAGAUAGAGAGAGACAUCUAAUUAGCAUAUUUUAAUAAAGUAUAGUGGAAGACAGAAAGAGAUAUAAAGCGAAGAAAAUAAAGUGACAGUGAUGUGAAUUUUAACAUCCAAUUUAUGUGAUGGGGAUUACAAGCAUAUGGGUGGUAGUCAAAAUAUAGACCGCAAGAUCGAAAGCAAACAACCAAAUCAAACUCAGGCCGUAUAAUCCUCUAACACCCUAUGGGAGAAAUCUGUAUCUUUUAUCUCAUUGCAUCCUCCAAUAAGAAUGGGAGGAUGUUAACAAGUGGCAACCACCUCAUUUUCAUUUCUAAAGUCUGUUUAGGGCUGAUUGUAAUUUAAGUGAUUAUGAACAUGUACUCUCCGAUUUCAGGUGUCAUGCAUACACAGUGAGCUUGAAGAGAAAGGUUUUUUUUUUGGAGGGGGCGGGGGGUGUUCGAACAAUAAAUCUAUCAAACUCCUAUCUUAUCCACCAUCUAUCACCAGGCUAACCCUAAUAGUUUUAGAACAAAAAGUAUUUUAUCCUUCAAUAUCUUUGUUUUGCUAAAUUCCUACAUUAUCUUCGUG
RNAcentral lists this long non-coding RNA (2722 nucleotides) under Malus domestica (apple). RNAcentral's name for it is "long non-coding RNA (MDOM_LNC014647)". The record is from RNAcentral. Lineage: Eukaryota; Viridiplantae; Streptophyta; Magnoliopsida; Rosales; Rosaceae.